UCCCCAGUGGCUCAGAUGGUAAAGAAUCUGCCUGCAAUGCAGGAGACCUGGGUUCGAUUCCUGGGUUGGGAA
This 72-nucleotide transfer RNA is filed under the name Muntiacus reevesi (Reeves' muntjac). It matches the Rfam family "tRNA". Rfam says of the family: Transfer RNA (tRNA) molecules are approximately 80 nucleotides in length. Their secondary structure includes four short double-helical elements and three loops (D, anti-codon, and T loops). RNAcentral also lists the same sequence under 5 other names. The record is from Rfam by way of RNAcentral. Lineage: Eukaryota; Metazoa; Chordata; Mammalia; Artiodactyla; Cervidae.